GAUGAACGCUGGCGGCGUGCCUAAUACAUGCAAGUCGAGCGAACAGACGAGGAGCUUGCUCCUCUGACGUUAGCGGCGGACGGGUGAGUAACACGUGGAUAACCUACCUAUAAGACUGGGAUAACUUCGGGAAACCGGAGCUAAUACCGGAUAAUAUAUUGAACCGCAUGGUUCAAUAGUGAAAGACGGUUUUGCUGUCACUUAUAGAUGGAUCCGCGCCGCAUUAGCUAGUUGGUAAGGUAACGGCUUACCAAGGCAACGAUGCGUAACCGACCUGAGAGGGUGAUCGGCCACACUGGAACUGAGACACGGUCCAGACUCCUACGGGAGGCAGCAGUAGGGAAUCUUCCGCAAUGGGCGAAAGCCUGACGGAGCAACGCCGCGUGAGUGAUGAAGGUCUUCGGAUCGUAAAGCUCUGUUAUUAGGGAAGAACAAAUGUGUAAGUAACUGUGCACGUCUUGACGGUACCGAGUCAGAAAGCCCCGGCUAACUACGUG
This 497-nucleotide ribosomal RNA is filed under the name uncultured bacterium. RNAcentral describes it as "partial 16S ribosomal RNA". It matches the Rfam family "Bacterial small subunit ribosomal RNA", at positions 28 to 507 of the family's 1533-position model. The record is from RNAcentral.